UCACGAAAGACCCCAGAGGGUCCAUCUGCGCCGGGAUAAGUGAAGAAUUGGGAUCUGAGGAAUACAUCAUUAUGAAGAAGAAUGCUCCCCAAAGCAUACACCUUCUAACUGGAAAGGUCAAUAUAAAGAGUGGAGAUGCUGCCGUCUAUUUUUCCACAGAAGAGUGGAAUAUAUAGAGAGACACAAGGAGUCUUACAAUGAUGUUAUGAUGGAGACCCUCUGUAGUUUGGGAAUACCAACCAGCAAGACCUCUGGUGGGAGUAAGCCAGGGUUUGAACCAGACAUUGAUCAGAAUGAACCAUGUGCAGUAAUAUAUGUGGACGAUAAAGAGGAAGAAAUAUGUAUAAAUGGUGACUCAGGUGAAAAGAAAGAGCCAAGAAGAAGACAUACAUACAAUUGUGUUUUUUGCCAGUGGAGCCAAGUAAUAAAUAAUCAGUAUUUAU
Molecule: long non-coding RNA, 443 nt
Organism: Xenopus laevis (African clawed frog)
Lineage: Eukaryota; Metazoa; Chordata; Amphibia; Anura; Pipidae
Exons: 5
Source: RefSeq, a predicted model, not a curated record